This 507-nucleotide ribosomal RNA is filed under the name uncultured bacterium. RNAcentral's name for it is "bacterial SSU rRNA". It matches the Rfam family "Bacterial small subunit ribosomal RNA", at positions 19 to 518 of the family's 1533-position model. The record is from RNAcentral.
AUGGCUCAGAUUGAACGCUGGCGGCAGGCUUAAUACAUGCAAGUCGAACGGUAGCAGCAGGAAGGCUUGCCUUUCUGGCUGACGAGUGGCGGACGGGUGAGUAAUACCUGGGAAACUGCCUAUAAGAGGGGGACAACACCUGGAAACGGGUGCUAAUACCGCAUAAGCCCUGAGGGGAAAAGGAUGGGAAACCAUGCGCUUAUAGAUGUGCCCAGGAGGGAUUAGCUUGUUGGGGAGGCAAAGGCUCACCAAGGCGACGAUCUCUAGCUGGUCUGAGAGGAUGAUCAGCCACAUUGGGACUGAGACACGGCCCAAACUCCUACGGGAGGCAGCAGUAGGGAAUAUUGCACAAUGGGGGAAACCCUGAUGCAGCCAUGCCGCGUGUGUGAAGAAGGCCUUCGGGUUGUAAAGCACUUUCAGCGGGGAGGAAGGCGGGAGUUCCAACAGGGCUUUCCGUCGGACGCUGCCCGCAGAAGAAGCGCCGGCUAACUCCGUGCCAGCAGCGGC